AAUGCCGUUGAAACUGUCGGACUUGAGUGUAAAUGAGGUAGGCGGAAUGCGUGGUGUAGCGGUGAAAUGCAUAGAUAUCACACAGAACUCCGAUUGCGAAGGCAGCUUACUAAGCUACAACUGACACUGAAGCACGAAAGCGUGGGGAUCAAACAGGAUUAGAUACCCUGGUAGUCCACGCAGUAAACGAUGAUUACUAGCUGUUUGCGAUACACAGUAAGCGGCACAGCGAAAGCGUUAAGUAAUCCACCUGGGGAGUACGCCGGCAACGGUGAAACUCAAAGGAAUUGACGGGGGCCCGCACAAGCGGAGGAACAUGUGGUUUAAUUCGAUGAUACGCGAGGAACCUUACCCGGGUUUGAACGUAGGGAGACAGGGGUGGAAACAUCCUUUUCAGCAAUGACUGCCUACGAGGUGCUGCAUGGUUGUCGUCAGCUCGUGCCGUGAGGUGUCGGCUUAAGUGCCAUAACGAGCGCAACCCUUAUUUCCAGUUACUAACAGGUAAUGCUGAGGACUCUGGAGAGACUGCCAGCGUAAGCUGUGAGGAAGGUGGGGAUGACGUCAAAUCAGCACGGCCCUUACAUCCGGGGCGGCACACGUGUUACAAUGGUAAGGACAAAGGGCAGCUACCGGGCGACCGGAUGCGAAUCUCUAAACCUUAUCUCAGUUCGGAUCGGAGUCUGCAACUCGA
Molecule: ribosomal RNA, 691 nt
Filed under: uncultured bacterium
Lineage: Bacteria
Description: bacterial SSU rRNA
Rfam family: Bacterial small subunit ribosomal RNA
Source: RNAcentral